This 40-nucleotide ribosomal RNA is filed under the name Pteraeolidia ianthina. RNAcentral describes it as "partial 5.8S rRNA". The record is from RNAcentral. Lineage: Eukaryota; Metazoa; Mollusca; Gastropoda; Nudibranchia; Facelinidae.
UUGGCGGCGGAUCACUUGGCUCGCGCGUCGAUGAAGAGUG